GUUUGAUCCUGGCUCAGAGCGAACGUUAGCGGCAGGCUUAACACAUGCAAGUCGAGCGAGAAAGGGGUUUCGGCCCCAAGUAAAGCGGCGGACGGGGUGCGUAACACGUGGAUAAUCUGCCUCGUGGCGGGGGAUAACAGCCCGAAAGGACUGCUAAUACCGCAUGUCACGAUGAAGGUCUCGGCCUUCAUACGAAAAAGAGGGCGCCGCAAGGGCUCUCACCACGAGAUGAGUCCGCGUCCCAUCAGCUAGUUGGCGGUGUAAUGGACCACCAAGGCUUAGACGGGUAGCUGGUCUGAGAGGAUGGCCAGCCACACUGGGACUGAGACACGGCCCAGACUCCUACGGGAGGCAGCAGUGGGGAAUAUUGGACAAUGGGGCGAAAGCCUGAUCCAGCCAUGCCGCGUGAGUGAUGAAGGUCUUCGGAUCGUAAAGCUCUGU
Molecule: ribosomal RNA, 441 nt
Filed under: uncultured bacterium
Lineage: Bacteria
Description: bacterial SSU rRNA
Rfam family: Bacterial small subunit ribosomal RNA
Source: RNAcentral